UAAAAUCCGUAGAACACCGGUCCUCCAGGACUGAGUUUGGACACCCCUGGACUAGACAGAGGAAACGCUUAGAAAUGUUACAGGGUAUAACCAACAAGACUCAGCAUAGUGUGAGUCAAAUAGAGCCGUAUAUAUAGUCUGUGUAAUCAGUCCUUGAGCAGCUCCCAGCUCAGUUGUGUGUGUGUGUAAUCAAUGGAAAACCGGAACAGGUGUGUGCGAGGUGCAUGACCAGAUUUGUAGUUCUUUUGGUUACGGAUUUGUAGUUCUCCAGCGAUCUGUAUGGACUAGAUUCCUGGUGAUUGUGACACCAUCACUUUUGCUCAUUGAUAAAACUCAUUAGAUAAAAAAAAUAAUUAUAAUAAUAAUUCAGUAUCAGAGCUUGAUACUGCAGAUGUUCAGUGACAUUUUUAAAUGUGAACAGGAAGCAGACUGAAAAAAAUGACAAGGCUCAUGAUUGCGUGACGAUUUUCAAUAUGAUUCUGCUCAGACAUUCUGGAUGCACUUUGCAUGUUUCACCCAAUAAUAUAGCACACUGACUUUAGCUUAUAGACAGAUGUCUCGUACAACAUGUUCUGAUGCUUUAAUUUUAAUAAAUGCAUUAAUAUCAUAUACACAUCACACCCUUUUUAAAUACCUUACAACGAUUAGUUUAGUAAAACAUAAAGAAAUAGUAGUCUUUCAAAAGACAAAAGUCCAUAUGAUGUUUUUUUUGGAGUUUCAACAGCAAAGCUCACCCCAAAAGCUUCACAAAAGGACACACAAACAUCAAAGUCCACUCCAAAAGCUUCAUCCAGAGAACCAAAAACAAAUGAGUCAAGUUCCUUAACGACCCCGAGACAUGCAACGACUGCUGCAAAAACCUCACAAGCAGACAAAGAAACAUCAACAGUUACUGUUAUUUCAACCACUGAAACCUCUAUGUGCAUCACAUCUGAUCCAACAUUUCCGUCCAAUUUAAAAGCUUCAUCAAAACAACCCAAAACAAAUCCAAAGCCAAAUCUGUCAACCAGCACAA
Molecule: non-coding RNA, 1015 nt
Organism: Danio rerio (zebrafish)
Lineage: Eukaryota; Metazoa; Chordata; Actinopteri; Cypriniformes; Danionidae
Source: RefSeq, a predicted model, not a curated record